Molecule: non-coding RNA, 30 nt
Filed under: Homo sapiens (human)
Lineage: Eukaryota; Metazoa; Chordata; Mammalia; Primates; Hominidae
Source: RNAcentral
UACAAGUAGAAAGUGAAAUUGAUUUGUGCA